Small nuclear RNA from Choloepus didactylus (southern two-toed sloth), 105 nucleotides. Lineage: Eukaryota; Metazoa; Chordata; Mammalia; Pilosa; Megalonychidae. The record is from RefSeq and is a predicted model, not a curated record.
GUGUUCUUCAGUGGCACAUAUACUAAAAUUGAAAGGAUACAGAGAAGAUUAACAUGACCCCUGCAGAAGGAUGACAUACAAAUUUGUGAAGCCUUACAUACUUUU